This 3383-nucleotide long non-coding RNA is filed under the name Sus scrofa (pig). RNAcentral describes it as "lncRNA (ENSSSCG00000060931.1)". The record is from RNAcentral. Lineage: Eukaryota; Metazoa; Chordata; Mammalia; Artiodactyla; Suidae.
CAGGAAACUGUUCCACAGUAGUAGUCUCAGGUCAUAUUAUUCGCUGAAAAGAUAGAUAUGUUGCCAGUGCAAUGAAAAGCUACAGCUGGAUUAACAAAUGGAACCAUGAUUGUAACUCGCUUUUUAUGUUUGUUUAAUGUCUUGCAUCUUUCUAAAAAUAGAUUCUAUGAACAAAGGUAGAUAAUAACAAAAACACAUACAUUUCUCAUUGGAUUGAUAGAUGUUAGCCCCACAUUUAUUACUAAUAUUCUCAGCAGCCAAUGCAGAAAGGGAAAUGAAAUCUACAGUGUUUACAGGAAAAAAUAUAUAAUCUUUUCUUAAGCAAAAUAUCCCUGUCAGUGGAUAUUUCUCCCACAAUCCUUAUAAUUGGAUCAUUCAAUAAACACAAGUUGAAAUCUGAAAAUGUAAAUUAUGUACCCAUAUGUUUCCCACAGUUCAUGAAGUUUCAAAGUAAAUUUCAGUUCCAUUAUUCCUAUUGGCAUUUUGGGCUUUGUAUUUUCUUCUCCAUCAAUUAUGACACUAUUUGGCAAGGUAUGUCUAUUCUCAGUUUCAGUCCAAACAAGGGCACAGCCUUUCUCUGUUAUUUUGAUGUCACAGCCCAGGCACCAAAUCAGUACCUGGUACAUAGUCAAUUCAUUAACAUUUGUUGAAUGAACAAGUGAAAUUUGUAACUUAGAGCAAUAAUAUAAUCUAUCUAAAUAACCUAUCUCCAUUUGUUACCUUGACCCAAAUAUAUCUACAUCUGAGGAUUAUUUCUUUCCAGAAGUCUUUCAAUCUUUUCCAAUUUUUAUAUAACUAGAAAUAGUGGUAUCUUCUAGAUUUCUAUUACUCAUAACAAGGAAAUAAUUUUCAGUGUUUUAUAGUUCCUUAUCUUUCAACAUGCUGCAAAAUGUCAGGCCCCUGCAUUGUCAGAUUUUAGGCUUCAGGGUUCUAGGACCAAAAGAAGGUAUAGGUAAAUAAAUGAAACGAAUUCAAAUCUAUGUUAUCUUAAAAAGUACUCAACAUAUAGACUAUGUUUAUAACAAUAUAUUGCAAAAAAAUUUAAACAAUUUUAAACCAAUAACUAUAAUAUAGAUUCUAGACAAUUUAUUAACAACUUCAGUCUUGCCGAAUAUAUUAUUAAGAGUUCAGCAAUCUGGAAGUUGCUCUACAUUCACAGCUUCUGAAAUGUAGAGAUUACAAAUUUCCAGUGCUAGAAUUACCUUGAGAUUUAACCCUGUGUCCAGUCAGUUAAAUAUUAAAAUACCUAAAUUGUCUUCUCUCCUAUCAGAAAAGCUGUAAGAUUCUACUCUGCUCAAACAGGGCUUUCCCACUCAAAUUCUAGAGUUAAAAAAAAAUUUCUUUAAAUUUCAAGAGCAAAUAAAGAAAUAGGGUUGCAAUUGAGUUUAUACUGUCUAGUCAUCUGUAAUGUUUCUUAACCCCUUCAACAAUCCCAUUUAAAACCUUAAAAAUCUGUACUACAGUGAAAAUCUUCUACCUAAAUCUGACCCUUAUCCUUUCUCUCUUAUUCCAAUUGAUUAAACUCAGUUCAACCCAGCUGAGGAAUAUCAAUUAUUAAGAGGUGAUAGGUUGGGAAUUUACCAGAGUGUCUCUCACUGGUCACAGUAUUGCUUCCACAGUGACCCUGCCUAAACAUUCUUUAGUGUUCUUGUCUCAAAAACUCAUUUCCAGUUAAGGUUAAAAGAAAUAAUUCUCAUACUCUAGCUCCAGAUUUCUUAUCUGGAUAGCUUUAUUGAACUUAUUUAAUUUAUCAAAAGAACAAAAACCAAACCAAUAAAACUCUCUAGUGGCCAGCUGGCAGCCAUAAAUUUCAAAUAGCAGCUCAAAUGGCUACAAUUUAAUACAUUUUAUGAUUCAUCAUUCAACUGUCCUUACUCACUGUAUUGCAUUUUGUAAAAUUCUGUGUAUGCUUCCUAGACAUACAUUAGAGUAAUUAUAAAUGAAUUAAAUAUUAUUAAUCCUAGACUGUAACUGGCUACUAUCUGAUGCUGCUUAGUGACUUAAUUAUGUUAGACAGACUAAAUUGUUUCAUAUGAACCUUCACAAAGGUCCUUAAUAAAAUAAAACAGUGAUUUUAUUUUGUGUUAUCUACUUUCUGCCAGAAGGUUCUCUAGGGGCUCCUGCGGUUCUCUUUUCUUCCCUAUUAGCUAGAAAGCACAAUCUAGUAAGCCUGUGAACCUUGCAGGAGCUUACACUGAAAAUAUUUCUCACUCUUUGACAAGCACUGUGGUAAGAUUUGGGGCUGCUGUGUAAGCAGCAAGAUUUAGUGGUUUUCUCUUAAGGGAGCUGGUUCCUGAAGUGACUUAGAGUGCCUUAGGAAAGAAAGGAAGGAAGAAGAACUUUCAUAUUGAUAGUGUAUGGAAGGGAUAACUUUAUAUAAAUUUUGAGUAGAGUGGAUAUUUUAGCAGAUAGAGAGGAAAUUUCCAAAGGAGAAUUUAAAGUGUCAGCAGAUUCAGAGAGGAACUGCCUCUGACAGCAGGCUGUAAAAGAUUAAAUUUUAAAAUAAAGGGUUACAUUGUCUCUUUAGCUUGCUUUGUGCAAUACCAGAGGUUCACGAAUGAGGGCAGACAAUUCGUCUAUUAUUUCUAAGAUAGAGCAUAUCAGCUAUGAUUUCACUCAGAAGGAGGCCCCUCACCUGUGAGAGGUGCGAGGAGAGGUUGGAUGUGCACAAAGUAUUUCUCAUUCCCACAGCAGUUUUGACAGGCAGGUCAGACACGUGAAAAAAGGAUAAUGGGAUAAUAAAGUUACUACGCUUCUGAGCAAGAUGUGCAGUGUAGCAGCCAAAGUGUGGGUCUUUGUGGGAAAGUUGCAGACAAAAGUGCUUCUCUGUGGGAAAGAACUGCUUGGGACCUGUGGAAGCUUUCUAGACUAGUCGUUACUAUUCUUAGUCUUCCCUCAGUGUGAAACCUAUGCUCAGCAGAGCCAGGAUGUGGUAAAAUUAUUUAUUUCUCCUUCCCUUGCACAUUCCCUACAAGAAAACACAUGCACACCAAUGACAUAAACUCUCAUAAGCGCUUCUGUUUUUGAUAUUCCUUAUUUAUGGAAUAUUAAACCACACUGGGAUUUUCCAGAUGUCUUAGACCUUUUGUUUCUGAGUAUCCUGCCCUGUGUGUAAAGCACAAAGAGGCUGACUACAAAGACUGGAAAUAAGAAUAAGAACUUCAUUUAUUGUCAUUGAAAUAUUCUACCAUUGUGAUGCAUACCUUAGCUUCCAGCGGGUAGAUCUCUAUCAAGAACAUAGCUCUAGUUCUAUUUUGAGCUUUAAAAUUUUUAGUCAACAUUGACAAAUAUAAAAAAAAAGAAUAUUAAAUCUAAAGAAGCAUAUAAAUAUUAGCCAAAUAAGUAGCUUCAGUGAAAGCCCAAAUUUUUGGAUGUUUUACUAG